UAUUAUAGAGUUACUCUAUUAUAGAAUAAAAAAGAACAAGACUUAGGUUCACCCCUAGGGUGAGCCUUUAAAUUAACUUCUCAUCUUAUUAUCAAUCAAAAUAUCACCUAGAUUAAUAAUAAAAUAUAUUUAUUUUAUUUUAAAAAAUCUGAAAUAAUUGAAAAAAAAUAAUAACGCUAAUUUUAAUGAUGCUAACACCACUAACUAAACCCUAAACUUUAAAUCUAUACCCUAAACCCAAAUCUAAACCCUAAACCCAAAUCGUAAACCCUAAACCCAAACCCUAUAUCCUAAACCCAAAUCCUAAACCCUAAACCCAAACCGUAAACCAUAAACUCAAACCCUAUAUCCUAAAUCCAAAUCAUAGACUCUAAACUCGAACCAUAUAU
RNAcentral lists this long non-coding RNA (389 nucleotides) under Brassica napus (rape). Its description in RNAcentral is "long non-coding RNA (BNAP_LNC011117)". The record is from RNAcentral. Lineage: Eukaryota; Viridiplantae; Streptophyta; Magnoliopsida; Brassicales; Brassicaceae.